AGUGAACGCUGGCGGUAGGCCUAACACAUGCAAGUCGAACGGCAGCACAGUAAGAGCUUGCUCUUACGGGUGGCGAGUGGCGGACGGGUGAGGAAUACAUCGGAAUCUACUUUUUCGUGGGGGAUAACGUAGGGAAACUUACGCUAAUACCGCAUACGACCUACGGGUGAAAGCAGGGGAUCUUCGGACCUUGCGCGAUUGUAUGAGCCGAUGUCGGAUUAGCUAGUUGGCGGGGUAAAGGCCCACCAAGGCGACGAUCCGUAGCUGGUCUGAGAGGAUGAUCAGCCACACUGGAACUGAGACACGGUCCAGACUCCUACGGGAGGCAGCAGUUGGGAAUAUUGGACAAUGGGCGCAAGCCUGAUCCAGCCAUACCGCGUGGGUGACGAAGGCCUUCGGGUUGUAAAACCCUUUUGUUGGGAAAGAAAAGCAGCAGGUUAAUACCCCGCUGUUCUGACGGUACCCAAAGAAUAAGCCCCGGCUAACUUCGUG
RNAcentral lists this ribosomal RNA (492 nucleotides) under uncultured bacterium. Its description in RNAcentral is "partial 16S ribosomal RNA". It matches the Rfam family "Bacterial small subunit ribosomal RNA", at positions 29 to 507 of the family's 1533-position model. The record is from RNAcentral.